This 461-nucleotide ribosomal RNA is filed under the name soil bacterium 09G-06. RNAcentral describes it as "bacterial SSU rRNA". It matches the Rfam family "Bacterial small subunit ribosomal RNA", at positions 27 to 484 of the family's 1533-position model. The record is from RNAcentral.
GGACGAACGCUGGCGGCGUGCCUAAUACAUGCAAGUCGAGCGAGACUCUUCGGAGUCUAGCGGCGGACGGGUGAGUAACACGUGGGCAACCUGCCUGUAAGACUGGGAUAACACCGGGAAACCGGUGCUAAUACCGGAUAAUCCUUUUCCUCUCAUGAGGAAAAGCUGAAAGUCGGUUUCGGCUGACACUUACAGAUGGGCCCGCGGCGCAUUAGCUAGUUGGUGAGGUAACGGCUCACCAAGGCGACGAUGCGUAGCCGACCUGAGAGGGUGAUCGGCCACACUGGGACUGAGACACGGCCCAGACUCCUACGGGAGGCAGCAGUAGGGAAUCUUCCACAAUGGACGAAAGUCUGAUGGAGCAACGCCGCGUGAGCGAUGAAGGCCUUCGGGUCGUAAAGCUCUGUUGUUAGGGAAGAACAAGUACCGGAGUAACUGCCGGUACCUGACGGUACCUAACC